GGUAGAUUUCCCGAGCGGUCAAAGGGGUUUGACUGUAAAUCAAAUGCUAUUAGCUUCGUAGGUUCGAAUCCUACAUCUACCA
Molecule: transfer RNA, 82 nt
Filed under: bacterium
Lineage: Bacteria
Description: tRNA-Tyr
Rfam family: tRNA
About the family: Transfer RNA (tRNA) molecules are approximately 80 nucleotides in length. Their secondary structure includes four short double-helical elements and three loops (D, anti-codon, and T loops).
Source: RNAcentral